This 64-nucleotide transfer RNA is filed under the name Togoperla sp. KW-2014. Its description in RNAcentral is "tRNA-Leu". It matches the Rfam family "tRNA". Rfam says of the family: Transfer RNA (tRNA) molecules are approximately 80 nucleotides in length. The record is from RNAcentral. Lineage: Eukaryota; Metazoa; Arthropoda; Insecta; Plecoptera; Perlidae.
UCUAUUUUGGCAGAAAAGUGCGAUGGAUUUAGAAUUCAUAUAUGUAAAUUAAUUACAAAUAGAA